RNAcentral lists this long non-coding RNA (346 nucleotides) under Amazona collaria (yellow-billed parrot). RNAcentral describes it as "lncRNA (ENSACOG00000006876.1)". The record is from RNAcentral. Lineage: Eukaryota; Metazoa; Chordata; Aves; Psittaciformes; Psittacidae.
GAAAAAUAGAUGGGUUUUGUUUGGUUUUUUUUGUUUGUUUCUUGGUAAUAAUCCAGCAGGUUUCCAUCCUCAUUCCUCUCCACUAUGUUCUGUUGUUCUGGGAAGUCAGUGUUGUGAUUAAGAGUUUUAUUGUGCAUUGAUCAAGCAAAGGCAUUGAGACUUGGUAUUUUGGCUUUCGCUAAUGAUGGUAACAAGUUCAGUUAACACAGGUAAACCUGCAGUGCUCCUGCGAUCAAUGGCUUACCAGGCAGAGAGGGAAGAGAUGGUCCCAAAGCUGACAAAGGAGAACCAGGGGCCAGCUCUCAAAACCAGAAAUCAUGCUUGCAAGAGUUGUCUACUAAUCUGA